This 119-nucleotide ribosomal RNA is filed under the name Chaetomella zambiensis. Its description in RNAcentral is "partial 28S ribsomal RNA". It matches the Rfam family "Eukaryotic large subunit ribosomal RNA", at positions 1 to 117 of the family's 3401-position model. The record is from RNAcentral. Lineage: Eukaryota; Fungi; Ascomycota; Leotiomycetes; Chaetomellales; Chaetomellaceae.
UUUGACCUCGGAUCAGGUAGGGAUACCCGCUGAACUUAAGCAUAUCAAUAAGCGGAGGAAAAGAAACCAACAGGGAUUGCCUCAGUAACGGCGAGUGAAGCGGCAACAGCUCAAAUUUG